AGGAUCUACAGCAACGUUAUAUAAAUGAUUUUGUUGAAUAUCUCCAAAACCACAGGCGUAAUCGGAAAGAUUGAGUUGCUAUAUUAGAUGCUGCAUCUGUCUUCAAUGAAGAUGUCUUUGGCACUGGAUCGGCGAAUAAUAGAACAAGCUUUCUUCAAUUUUAAAUCACAAAAGUCCAAACCAAAAUCUUGGGAAAGAUUUUUCCAUUUACCUUUUAUGUAUUCAUGGGUUUGUUUGAAUUUUCCAAAAGAAAAUGUCUAUGUUCACGAUAGAAAAUCUCUCCCGAUCUUGUGUGGUGGCCGAAGUGCCGAGAGUCA
RNAcentral lists this long non-coding RNA (317 nucleotides) under Vitis vinifera (wine grape). RNAcentral describes it as "long non-coding RNA (VVIN_LNC007356)". Lineage: Eukaryota; Viridiplantae; Streptophyta; Magnoliopsida; Vitales; Vitaceae. The record is from RNAcentral.